CUCAAAGAUUAAGCCAUGCAAGUGGUUAUAUUAACCCGACAGUUUAAAUAAGUGUUAGAUGCUAUUUAAAAAUCCUACUNUACAGUGAUUUUAAACUGGUUUUCACAUCAGUAUCACUUACGCAACUGCAGACAGCUGCUUAAUACAGUCACACUUGUCUUGACUUGGCGCUAUAACAAUGGCAUAAAUAUUUUAUGNUUUUUGUUUUCUUACUUCUAAAUCGCAACCCGAUAUAGAAUGAUUUCUCUGUAACGCUAUUCAUAAAAAAUACACGUUACACCGUGCAAUUUUCUUUUUGGAUAACUCAGGGAAAGUUUGGCUAAUACGUACGAGUUUUUACACAAAAUACACACACACACACAAAUAUAUGCACGCAUUGCUGUCUCUUAUUGCACACACAAAAGACUGGCAAUGACACAAAUUAUUACUCAGCACUUAUUGGUAAAUUUUGAUCGCAUCUUUUUGAUGCUUUCAGUUUAAAAUUUAACUGCAACAUGAGAGACAAUAAGUACGCACGUGCUUUGCCUUUUUGGCAUUGCACAUUUUUGCUGAGCAGACUUUGCGAAGUUUACUUUGCGAAGCAGGUCAUACAAGCAUCUACAGCAUCAAGUCACAGGGUUGGCAAGUGUAUUUUUGAACCNUCAAAGCAGUCACGCAUACGGAAGAGUAGUUUCUGAUCCCAUAGAAGGAGCACCGUACAUUGAGAGACCGCUCUUAGUUCUAAGGAACGCAGCAGGCGCGNAANUUGCCCAAUGCUAGUACCCUACAAUGUUUACUGCAUUAACAAUUUACAACGAAAUAAAAUAAAUUUUAUUUAGCGUUAAAUUAUUAUAUAACACUUUCUCUAUUUUCGCUGUCAAUAAAAAAAUUUAUCCUUGUUACGUUGUUAUUCAGUUAAAUAUUUCAUUUACUGAGGCAGUGACAAGCUGUAACGGUUGAGUAUUUUAAUGACAAGUGUCUGGCAUUGCCGCCUGGUUCGCCAGGCUUGGCAGUUCGCCGACGCUUUGUGUGCUCAAUUGGAAUGCGGUGAGUUUAAGCAACUCAGAACCUUUGACUGGUGAUUUUGAAAUAUAUUUCACUGUUCUUGUAUCUGAAUUUCAAGUGGAGGGCAAGUCUGGUGCCAGCAGCCGCGGUAAUACCAGCUCCACUGGCCUAUACAAUCAUUGUUGCGGUUAAGAGGCUCGUAGUUGGAUUGAAUUGCAAAAAACUUGCGUAAUUUUUUUACUGCGUAUAUCAUACACACACACACACACGCAUGAUCCUGCAGUUGAUAUAUUUACGCAUAUUUUUUCAACACUGUGAACAAAUCAGAGUGUACCAAACAUGCUUUUUUUGUGCAUUGAAUGUCUUAUCAUGGGAUGUUGCACUUAAAAAUUNUUUUCUAAAAAAAAGACAAAACACGCAUUACAUACACACAACUUUUGCGUGAAUCAUUUUUUUUAGGAUACAGCUUAAAUGUCGAUGGGGAUAGUUGGAGUCAAGAGUACUGCUGGGCGAGAGGUGAAAUUCAUUGACCCUAGUAAGACUACCAAAAGCGAAAGCACUUGACUAGGCUAUACUCUUUGUGAUUUUGUACGCCAAACAUUUUCAAUACAUACACACACACACACACACAUGCAUUGAAAUGGUUUGCACUGUACAUCACUUUACAAUGAAGAACGAAGGUUGGGGGAUCAAAGAGGAUCAGAUACCCUCGUCGUCCCAUUAAUUACAUCAAACGAUGGGCUCUCAAUUGCAUAUUUUUUUUAAUUUGCAAAUGCCCUCAGCCUACAAAAUAUUUGGCUUGAGCUCGUGAUUUAUUUCACGCUCGCCUUACUUUUUCUGUACGGUCUUGAUGGACGUUUCAUUUUAUACUUUUUUUGCGUGUAAGCAUUUUGUAUUCUUUUAGACUACAUUGCGUGCACUUGAUUUUCGGAGCUUUGCGCUCAAUUCUGGUGAGAUGUAAGCAUUAGGCCAUUCUACCCUCUGCUACUGCUUCGGCGGUUAGUCUGUUGUGUGUAGAUGGCUGUUUUGGUGUGAAGCACGCUUUAGGCACGCGCUUACUGCAGAAAUGUCUGAGACAUUCCCCUCCGGGGGUAGUAUGCACGCAAGUGUGAAACUUGAAGGAAUUGACGGAAGGGCACCACAAGAACGCGUGGAGCAUGUGGCUUAAUUUGACUCAACGCGGGAAAUCUUACCGGGUCCGGACACACUGAGGAUUGACAGGCAAUAUUGAAUUAUUUUUAAUAAUUCAUGUUAAAUAUGCUAGUCCUUUCAUGAUUAUGUGAUAGGUGGUGCAUGGCCGUUCUUAGUUCGUGGAGUGAUCUGUCUGCUUAAUUGCGUUUCACAUAGGGCCUAUAAACACGUGUGUUGCACUUUCUCUUUGACCCCUUCUUCCUUUUUGGAUUUAGCGUGUGUCUUUGAGGAUUAUGCUCGCACAAGUAGGUCCUGAAAGCAACGAACGUGACCGCAACCUCUUGUUGUCCUUUACACAAUCCUUCGCUUUUGUCUUUUGACUUUCGCGGAGUAACAGGGACUAUCUAAACUAGAGGGACCGCUGUAAUCUUUUUAAACCAGAGGAAGGUUGCGGCAAUAACAGGUCUGUGAUGCCCUUAGAUGUUCCGGGCUGCACACGUGCUACAAUGAUUAUUGCAGUGAGCAUCUCAUACUACACACCGCUUGCGCGAAGUCACUUUUGCGUAUCUCAAUUCGUAAUUGUGAUCUUUUGCGCGCGGUAAAGCCUGCUUCGAAAGUAAGCGGGUAAUCAAUUAGAAGUAAUGAUUUCCUUUUUUUCGCACACAUAUAUACGGCAUUGUUACCCGGAAUAGGCUCGUUCUUAUUUUUUGUGUGUAUCAAUGUUCCGUAUGUGCAAUUGUCAAUUCAUGGUGGGGACAGACCAUUGUUAAUUGUUGGUCUCGGUCUUAACUAGGAAUGCCUUGUACGGGUCUUUGGUUCAACAGACCACCCGGAAUACGUCCCUGCCCUUUGUACACACCGCCCGUCGCUCUUACCGAUGGACUUCUCUGUGAGUUUGAGGGACUGGAACUUUGUAUUUUUAUGCAAUACCUCUAUGGAAACUUAAACGAACAGUGUGGUCUAAAGGAAAGAGAAGUCGUAACAAGGCAUCGGUAGGUGAACCU
Molecule: ribosomal RNA, 3119 nt
Filed under: Reophax sp. 1879
Lineage: Eukaryota; Foraminifera; Lituolida; Reophacidae
Description: SSU rRNA
Rfam family: Eukaryotic small subunit ribosomal RNA (bases 969-3119)
Source: RNAcentral